This is a long non-coding RNA of Molossus molossus (Pallas's mastiff bat), 1091 nucleotides long. RefSeq lists it as uncharacterized. NCBI's taxonomy places the organism in Eukaryota, Metazoa, Chordata, Mammalia, Chiroptera, Molossidae. The transcript is spliced from 7 exons. The record is from RefSeq and is a predicted model, not a curated record.
CUGACUAUGGUUACUCCCUUUACUAGUUAUGGUGUUUGUAAUUAUUUAAAAAAUACUUUAAAAUUAUUAUUCUUAUUUAAUAUGUUCAUGGCUUUCCUCUGGAAAAGACCGUCCAUUCCUAGGGAGCAGUAAGAACUCACUGGAACAGCUUGCUGCUGGAGCACUUUGGAAGGGCACAGGUGUUGGUGCAGCCAGGACAGCGUCUGGGUGCACACAGCCCCUGCCUGGCUGUGUUGAACUGAUUGGUGAAUGUAGCUCUCAACGGCAGUAUUUCCGGUUCCUAUUUGGCAGCAUCACCCUCGAUAUUGACACCCCCUGGUUGAAAGUGUCCCAGGAGCUCUUGCUGACAAUCCCGGUUCCAGACGUCAGUUUUGGGCCAUGGUGAGGGCUGCGAUCCCUUCUCUGAUUUGCUGCCAACCAUGAAUGGGUGGAUGUGAUGCCUGCUGGCCAACAGGUGCCUGCCCUCUGUGUGUUGCGGUCCUGUGGCAUCAUGCACGCCCCCAGCCAGUGACUUCCAGGCUUUUUAUGGCUGUGAGACACAUCGAAAGGGUGAGAAGUGACCUUCUGAGGUGACUGUGACUGAAGAUCGUUUAGCAGAAGCCAGAACAGUUUGAAUUAACCCGUUGGUCCUUCGAGGACGGUCUCUUUUGGAUGGUCCAGCCUGGAAAGGGGGGAUCCCAGCCAGCGGUUUGGGCUGUCAGCUCAGAGCAUGGCUUCUGCAGAGCAUUCCCUGUGCUGAGACUCAGUCUUCUCUUGCUCCUCAGAGUGUGUCCUCGUCUCUGGAACCGGUGCGGUCUCAGCCCAGGGUUCUCCUGCAAACCGUGCUGCGUGCUUAACCCAGCGUGCUGUUAGCAAAGUUUUCUGAUGAAGCUACAAAUUAUGAUCAAGCAAAGCUGAAGAUCAGCUGGAGAGAGAGUUGUAUCUGUUCAAGCAGGACGUCCUCAGGAGGCUCUCACUGUUUGCUCUGGAGUCUCCGGUACAUUUUUCUUCUGAUGCCUCCUCUUGUGACACAAAGAAGCUAAAUAACAACAUCACAACAUUUUUAUGUUGACUUGACUGCUAGGAAGCUCAGAGUAAGAGUUUGUACUCAA